GAUGAACGCUGGCGGCGUGCUUAACACAUGCAAGUCGAACGGAAAGGCUCCUGCUUGCAGGGGUACUCGAGUGGCGAACGGGUGAGUAACACGUGGGUGAUCUGCCCUGCACUUCGGGAUAAGCCUGGGAAACUGGGUCUAAUACCGGAUAGGACGAUGGUUUGGAUGCCAUUGUGGAAAGUUUUUCGGUGUGGGAUGAGCUCGCGGCCUAUCAGCUUGAUGGUGGGGUAAUGGCCUACCAAGGCGUCGACGGGUAGCCGGCCUGAGAGGGUGUACGGCCACAUUGGGACUGAGAUACGGCCCAGACUCCUACGGGAGGCAGCAGUGGGGAAUAUUGCACAAUGGGCGCAAGCCUGAUGCAGCGACGCCGCGUGGGGGAUGACGGCCUUCGGGUUGUAAACUCCUUUCGCUAGGGACGAAGCGCAAGUGACGGUACCUGGAGAAGAAGCACCGGCUAACUACGUG
This 465-nucleotide ribosomal RNA is filed under the name uncultured bacterium. Its description in RNAcentral is "partial 16S ribosomal RNA". It matches the Rfam family "Bacterial small subunit ribosomal RNA", at positions 28 to 507 of the family's 1533-position model. The record is from RNAcentral.